RNAcentral lists this ribosomal RNA (926 nucleotides) under uncultured bacterium. RNAcentral's name for it is "bacterial SSU rRNA". It matches the Rfam family "Bacterial small subunit ribosomal RNA", at positions 8 to 916 of the family's 1533-position model. The record is from RNAcentral.
AGAGUUUGAUCCUGGCUCAGAACGAACGCUGGCGGCAGGCCUCAUACAUGCAAGUCGAGCGAUUAAAGCCCCCUCGGGGGUGUAUAAAGCGGCGAACGGGUGAGUAACACGUGGAUAAUCUACCUUACGGUGGGGGAUAACGGCUGGAAACGGCCGCUAAUACCGCAUACGGUUGUUGAACCUCUUGGUUCGACAAAGAAAGGGGCCUUUAAAGCCCCGCCGGAAGAUGAGUCCGCGCCCCAUUAGCUAGUUGGCGGGAUAACAGCCCACCAAGGCAACGAUGGGUAGCCGAGCUGAGAGGUUGAUCGGCCACACUGGGACUGAGACACGGCCCAGACACCUACGGGUGGCAGCAGUAGGGAAUAUUGGACAAUGGGCGCAAGCCUGAUCCAGCCAUGCCGCGUGGAUGAUGAAGGCCUUCGGGUCGUAAAGUCCUUUUCUGAGGGAAGAACAAGCCGGGGAGGAAAUGCUCCGGCCCUGACGGUACUUCAGGAAUAAGCAACGGCUAACUCCGUGCCAGCAGCCGCGGUAAUACGGAGGUUGCAAGCGUUGUUCGGAAUAACUGGGCGUAAAGGGAGCGCAGGCGGCUUAGUCAGUCUAAAGUGAAAUUCCAGGGCUCAACCUUGGACGUGCUUUGGAUACUGCUGAGCUUGAGUACGUGAGAGGAGAGUGGAAUUCCAGGUGUAGCGGUGAAAUGCGUAGAUAUCUGGAGGAACACCGGUGGCGAAAGCGGCUCUCUGGCACGUUACUGACGCUGAGGCUCGAAAGCGUGGGGAGCGAACGGGAUUAGAUACCCCGGUAGUCCACGCCGUAAACGUUGUGCACUAGGUGUAGGAGGUAUCGACCCCUUCUGUGCCGCAGCUAACGCAUUAAGUGCACCGCCUGGGGAGUACGGUCGCAAGACUGAAACUCAAAGGAAUUGACGG